RNAcentral lists this ribosomal RNA (258 nucleotides) under uncultured bacterium. RNAcentral describes it as "partial small subunit ribosomal RNA". It matches the Rfam family "Bacterial small subunit ribosomal RNA", at positions 26 to 286 of the family's 1533-position model. The record is from RNAcentral.
AGGACGAACGCUGGCGGCGUGCUUAACACAUGCAAGUCGAGCGGAAAGGCCCUUCGGGGGUACUCGAGCGGCGAACGGGUGAGUAACACGUGAGCAACCUGCCCCUGGCUCUGGGAUAGCCUCCGGAAACGGGGGAUUAAUACCGGACAUUCACUUCCUUCCGCAUGGUUGGUGGUGGAAAGUUUUUCGGCCGGGGAGGGGCUCGCGGUCUAUCAGCUUGUUGGCGGGGUAACGGCCCACCAAGGCGACGACGGAUAG